RNAcentral lists this ribosomal RNA (321 nucleotides) under Candidula rugosiuscula. RNAcentral's name for it is "partial 16S ribosomal RNA". The record is from RNAcentral. Lineage: Eukaryota; Metazoa; Mollusca; Gastropoda; Stylommatophora; Geomitridae.
GGCUUAUAAUUGAAGUCUGGCAUGAAAGAAUCUACGGGUAGUCACUGUCUUCAUUAGUUUUUCUGAACUUCCUUAAGAGGUGAAAAUGCCUUUAAACAUAAAAUAGACGAGAAGACCCUAGAAAUUUUUUACACAUUUAGAUUGAUCUAUUUUCUAUUUUGUUGGGGCGACAGAAUAACAUUUAACUUAUUUUAUUUAAUGUGCACUAUGUAAUGNGGAAAAACAAAUUACUCUAGGGAUAACAGCAUAAUUUUACUAGUUUGUGACCUCGAUGUUGGACUAGGGAUUUUAUUAACCAGCAGUUAACUGAACAUGCUCUGU